Molecule: ribosomal RNA, 427 nt
Filed under: uncultured archaeon
Lineage: Archaea
Description: bacterial SSU rRNA
Rfam family: Archaeal small subunit ribosomal RNA
Source: RNAcentral
UAAUACCGGAUAGAUCAAAGAUACUGGAAUGUUCUUUGGUCCAAAACUCCGGUGCCCAAGGAUGGGUCUGCGGCCUAUCAGGUUGUAGUGGGUGUAACGUACCUACUAGCCUACGACGGGUAAGGGUUGUGAGAGCAAGAUCCCUGAGAUGGAUUCUGAGACAUGAAUCCAGGCCCUACGGGGUGCAGCAGGCGCGAAAACUUUACACUGCGGGAAACCGCGAUAAGGGGACCCCGAGUGCCAGCACCUAGUGCUGGCUGUCCAGCUGUCCAAAUAACAGUUGUUAGCAAGGGCCGGGCAAGACCGGUGCCAGCCGCCGCGGUAACACCGGCGGCCCGAGUGGUAGCCGCUAUUAUUGGGUUUAAAGGGUCCGUAGCCGGCCUAUUAAGUCUCUUGGGAAAUCUGGCGGCUCAAUCGUCAGGCGUUC